Molecule: non-coding RNA, 166 nt
Filed under: pig gut metagenome
Source: RNAcentral
CACCGCGAGGAGAAUCGGAAGGAAGCUAAGGACAAAAGUCUGGCUCCACGCACAGAAACUUGAUACAAGGCUCAAAGUCAGGGGUAAGGUUGCUGAACAAACCAAAGCCCGAUAGCUAUCCGGACUGACGCGAGUAAAUCAAGGGAGUAUAAGACUGAAAGAUUAU